CAAUGGUUAAACUAGCGAUAGAACAUACUGCUAUUGCUAAAUAGAAAUAACCAAGCACCUGCACUUUGGAGCAGGACUUGGGCUGGUCCUAGGACUUGGACUAGGAGAGGCUGGUGAAAGAAAGUUGUUUCUUCACUCAGCUGAUUCUGCUUACUGCUGAGGGUAACUUUACAGGAGGUGCACUCUCAGAGUCACCGGCUUGCCAGAACUCUCCUGGAUUUACACACAGAAAUGCGGAGACAGAGAAAUGAAAACGAACUGUCAGCUGCUUCUGAAUCCAGAGCGCUGAAUGUUGCCGUGAGCCCAAAAUAACAAACUGUGUUUCAAGGCACAGACCCUGAAGACGAAGCACGCAUUCCUGAAAUGGUUCUGACAGCGGCGUUACGGAUAAGCUGCACGAGCUUCUUGAUCCGAUCCGGUAGCAGAACACAUGGCAUUGUUUGGAAAUCACAGACGUGUUCUAGAGAGGGUGGAGGGAAAAGAGAUGUCUGUAUCAGAGUUGGCAGUUGCACUUGUCUUUGUGGGAGAACAGGUUGCCUACAGAAUAGUGUAAGAAAGGGUCUUUUCUCUCUCUGAAGUUAUUCUUCAAUAAUUUAAUUUUGUACAUUUAGGUCCCUUCGCUGUAAGAAAGACAUUGAGGCCCUGGAGUGUGUCCAGAGAAGGGCAACAAAGCUGGUGAGGGGUCUGGAGCACAGGCCUUAUGAGGAGCGGCUGAAGGAGCUGGGAUUGUUCAGUCUGGAGAAGAGGAGGCUCAGGGGAGACGUUAUUGCUCUCUAUAACUACCUGAAGUUGUAGUGAGCUGGGGGUCAGCCUCUUCUCCUGUGUAACUAGUGAUAGGACUAGAGGGAAUGGCUUCAAGCUGUGCAAGGGAAGGUUCAGGCUGGAUGUUAGGAAAUAAUACCCCUCUGAAAGGGUGGUCAGACACUGGAAUGGGCUGCCCAGAGAGGUGGUGGCGUCACCGAGCCUGGUGGUGUUCAAAGAACAUUUGGACAUUGUGUUGAGGGACAUGGUUUAGUGAGAACCAUUGGUGAUGGGUGAAUGGUUGGACUGGAUGAUCCUGUGGGUCUUUUCCAACCUUUGUGAUUCUAUGAUUCUAUGAUUUUUUAGUCCUUAUUUUUGCCUUCAAGUGUCUCUCCCCGUUUCACCAGAACACCUGUCACUGCUUGGAUUUAAUGCUUUGUAACUCGCUUUGAAGAUCCACAAAUGACACUGAUGCCAUGCAGCAUUUUAGCUUUCCUUCCUAGAUUCUAACAGCUAAAGAAUCUGAGGAUGAUUCAUAAACACAGAAAUGUGUAGGUAAUAAAAAUCAGUGCAUAUAAAAUGUAUGUAACUAUAAAAUUUAACUUCUAGCUAUAAAAACUAAUAUCUACAGGCAGAGGAGAAGCACUUAUUAACCCUCUUACUGUAUUCAGGGCUUUUAAGGAGGUUUGUGGAAUGAACAAAUUUUACACUCAUUUUGGUAAAUGUGCCAAGGAAAGACCAUAUGGUGUUCUGCAGGCAUAAAAUCUAUUAUAAACUCCGUAUCCACUUCUCAGCUACUUUCUCAGAGCAGACAAUGAGGACCCGCAGGCGGUUUGUUACUUGGGAUUCAUGCAUGCUCCACACUCCUGGGCUCCUCCUGCAGAUCUCCACGCUUCUGGAGAGGUGUGAGAAAGCUGUACCUUGUGAUCCAGUACUCACGUUAACUGUUGUCCCCUGACAGUGUGCCUUCUGCAUCUUCCUGGGAAAACACAGUUCUGAGGCAGGGCAGGUUUUAAUGCAUGGAGCAAGACACGAUGCUAAAAUUCCCAUGGUUAGAGAAAGCUGUGAGUGGGUUUGGAGGAUGUUUGUCCCAAGCUGCCCUUGGUCACUCAGUGCACCCUAUUACUGCUCCAGAUUUGGGGGAAGAUGGAAAGCAGAGAGUGUUAUGCUUCAAACAGUGUUAUGGGCAAAAGGGAAACACAUUUGAAUCCCAUGAUUUCUUGUUAGCGUGAUUUAAAUCUGUCUUAGUUUCAGCUGGGAUGGAAUUGUUUUCUUCAGAGUGUCUGGCAUGAUGCUGUGUUUUGGUUCCAGGAGAAAAACAAUGUUGAUAACACACCGAUGUUUAUAGUUGCUGCUAAGCAGUGCUGCAGAGAGCCAAGGCUGUUCUCAGUGAAGGGCCCAAGGAGCUGGGAGAGGUCAGAAUUAGGACAGCUGACUUAAAUCGGCCAAAGACAUAUUCCAUAACACAUGACAUCAAACAGAAGGACUUUUGAAGGGGGUGGGAGUUCAUCUCACUUUGUUUCGCUGCUUGGAGGCUAGCUGGGGUUGGACAGGGAGUAGUGAGCAAUUGCUUGUGCAUCACUUUUUAUAUAUAUUCAUACCUAUAUAGUCAUCAUUAUUAUCCUUUUUCUCUGUCUUAGUAAAUAGUUGCAUUUCAACCCAUGAAUUCCACUUUUUUCCCCCUGAUUUACUCCUCCAUCCCACUGGGAAGGGAGGAGUGAGCAAAAGACUGCGUGGUGCUGAGCCACCUGCCAGGUUAAGCCAUGACACAAUCCUACCGCUCAGGUGCAGAAUCAGAUCUACCUACCCACUGCAGAAAAAGAAAUAAAACAAAGAAAUGAAUACUGCCAUGCAAGAAAGGUCUCAGUAGCCUUAACAAUACAGCUAAACGUUUUGCAAACACCUUUCUCAAUUUCUACCCCUUUUCCCAUUCUUAUCCUCACCUUUCCUCUUGGGCUUUGGGCUGGUGCAGAGCAGGUACAGCCACACCAGUCUCCUGCUGGGAGGAACACGGCUCCCAUGGCUCCUUCUUCCUCAUGCUUAGAAUCUGCAUAGGGGUCAUUUUUGUGUGGUUGCUAACACACAUCCACACCUUGCUCUUUUUAAACCUAAUUCAACUCUGUCAGUCCAUAAUGCAUCCAAAUUUACUCAAAAAGUGGUGCACGUUAGGUAUGUUUAAUACUUGUUCUUUAUUUCCCUUGUUGCUCCUGAAGGUGUUUCUGUCCAGAUGCAGCAUUUAUCUAACAGGCAGUGGGUGAACUGAUUAUAGCUGGUGGGUCUCCAGCACCAGCCUGCCCUCCAUCCCUUCUCAUCCCUUGCCUCUCUCCUCUUCACUGCACCCCAUUCACCACUUCUCAGGAGCUUUGUUAUCAUACCAACCCUGUCGUUCUCUAUACUUCAUCAUUACGUUAGUCACAAAUAUCUCAUUCUCCAUGGAGUAACUGCUUGUUACAACUGUCCGUAUAAAACUAUGCUAAUGCCAUACAAGAUGAAACAAAGCAAAAUGUAGGAAACUAAAUAAAAGCAAAACUCUGAGCAGGUCAAGACAGCCUGACAAACUGCUCCUGAGCCCUGCAGACUGCAAGCACUGUGACCAUUGCUCCAAUGGCAUCGCCCUGUUGCUGGUAUGAGGGAGCCUGCUCUGGGGGUCUUGCUCAUCACUUUACAUCACUGGGAGCUGUGUGCUGGCUGGUUUGCCCUGUUUUCCUCCCUGUCUGCGUGUGGCAGCUGGAAGAAGCAGGCAAGCCAAAAAAGUCAUAUUCUGCAACCCUUCUGUAUUUUCUGUGUAAAUGACUGUGAGUUUUAUUUCAGCCUGGCAAUGGCAGCAUUGAUGGGAGAAGCUAACAAGCAAUUUACUUCAAUGAGGACGUACUUGAGGCCCAAUUUGUUUCUGACUGAUGACAGCAGUAGUCUACCACUGGCUUCAAAGAAAGCUCGAUGAGCAUUACUCAGUGGCAGUAAUGCUGCAUCUCCUAUAGUCUGCAAUUGAAGUAGAAGAGAUACUGCAAUCUCUGUAAUUGCUUCACUGUGUAAAAAAGCUUUUGUCUUUGUAACAGGCUUUGUUUUAAUAUGAGCUAGAAGGCAUAUAAGAGUAUCUUCUGUAAUAAAAAUAGCUGUUGAUUCUUACUUCACGGGAAAGUCAGCACUGAAAAGAGAACAGGGAAAAUGUGCUUAUUUACAUAGGAGAAACUUAAAAGAAUGUUUUCAAUACCUUUCAUAAAUCAUACAUCUGAAAACUGAGAAUGGCAGUCUGUUUAGAAAUGCAAAUUUCAUAAUAAUAAAGCUGGUGAUGAUUGGAUAGCAAAAUUAAUAGGAUAAAGAAAAACCCAGCAUUAUAAUCUGUGCAGUUGAACUCCAAUGUCUUCAGUGGGGAUCUUAUUGAUGCAAGUUCCAUUCUUAAUUAAGGAGUUUAAUAUGACUUCUGAAUUUUUACUAGGCACUUUCAAAUGGUGCAUUCAUUGAGGUCUCUGUCUUUACUGGAUGGAUGUGUAGAUGUCAGCACAGCAGAUUGGUCUCAUGGCACUGUGGUCGCUUACAUUCAUCGUUACAGCAUUUGGGGGCUGCAGCUGCCGAUACGCACAGGGUGACCUUCCUGUUUCCGAAUGCUAUUAAGUCCUAAUGGCAGGAGACCUCUGCAUCCUGAGGGAAGGAUUUAAACCACCGAAACUGCGCCGGCUGGCAGAACAGAAUUUACCAGCCCUUGGAGGAAGGCUAGAUGGAAUCUGAACAACCUCUGGGUCAGCCUGUGGCAGCAGAGGAUCCCUCCUCCCAUGGAAGAGGUGUUCGUACCGCUCAGGUGCCGCAGUGCUGCGCCGGCAGUCCCACCACAGCCCCCAGCAGAGGCACCUGGCAGGGCUGCCUCCAGCCCAGCUCAACAACACGAGCUGAACGAGCCCAAGUGCUUUCUGAAAGCACAGCUGUGCCCAGAUCGGGGCAGUUCCUGGCAUCACUAGGUGCGAUUUUUCCAUGCUCAUAGCCAGCAUAGUUACGCCUCUGAAACUUUGUAGUAGAGACCUGGCUGGAAUCCUUCAGAUCCUCGCUCUCAGCCUUGGCAAAGCAAGCCCUCUAACUCUGUUGGAGCCAAGGCAGCUCAGCUCUUCCCAUUUAACAGUCCAGACCUUGUUCUUUCAGUGACCAGAAAAGUUGUUCCUGCGGGAAUGGCUUAUCUCUCUGUUCACUGCUUCAUAUCCUGCCUAAAACACUACUAUGGGAUGUAUGGCUGCUCUACUGGAUGCCAAUAUCCAUCCUGUGCUUUUGGAAAGGCAAUUCAAAUUCUGUGCACAGGCUUCUGGCAUGCUGAAAGCUUUUGGUUGCCUGUGUCCAAAGGGCUUACUUGUACAUGUGUGCAGUGCUGGGUUAGCUGGCAGAAAAUAUCACAUUUCCAAACCCUCUGCAAGGAAUCAGUGCUGAAGUUCUGCCUCCCUGAUCUUGUAUUGAUGUUUCCUUUGCUAAUGGCAUGUUAGAACACAAGUUUUAUUUACCCAGGAUAAUAUUUCAUUUUGUCCAUGUGCUGAGGUGAUAAAGUACUUAAAUACAUUGGAUGAUCUUUUCCUAAUGCCAUUUGGUGUGUUUAUGUUGUGUUGCCAUUUUUUAGAGAUAAAAAGAGGCUGAAAGAGCACCAGAGCAUGGAAGAGAUACUUAUGAGUGUUGGGCCAUCAUCAGAGGAAAAAAGAGAGACAAAUAUGAAAAAGAAUGAGUGCUGUGUUUAGUACUUUCUUCUCAUCCUUCACACGGGCAUUUCUGGAAGAGUUCUGGUGUGAUACAGUGUGGUUAAGAUAAGCAGUGGCUGCAAAAGUGCAUAAAAAGUUAGAGAUGACCGACUGCGAUUUUUGCCCAGCCACCUCACAGUGGUGCUUCUCUUAGUGGUCCCUCAUUCAUUUGGACAAAGUAUCUUAGCACGAUAGGAUGUGAAACUUGGCCAUGAGGGGAGGUACACAGAUAAUUUGCUGGUUCUUUCAGCACUUGGAGAAGUUGAUUAUCAUCUGAGAAAGAUUCUCAAAUAUUGUUGAGUGCUGGUUCAAAUGCGACAUAUAAAUGAAGUGAGUUGGGGCUGUCUGCUGAUAUCCUCUAAAGCUACACAGCAGUGCUUCUACAAGAAGUAAGUGCCAGGCAAAGAAACCUGACUUACACAAGUGCAACGUUAUGGACGUGAAAACAAUCAAUGUCCAGAAUGAAAGGAGGCCAGAGAAAUAGUGGGACUCCCAUCACCCCUGUUCUAUUUUAAGGAAUGGUUGCUAGAUAAUGCCAUUCAUGGAGAGUGAAGAUGAAUGUUCUCCCAGUGAUACUUUACAAUAUUUUCAGUGGUAUAUUUGCUCAGCUUUGUAAAAUCCUGAUACAAGGGAACAAGUAAUAUGCAUCAAGUUUAUCGAAGCUCAUUAAUUUGAUGAAAUAUAUUGGAAGGAUUGAUUUAUUCACAAUAUUAAACAGCUACUUACGUGAAACUCUGCUUUCUGACUGGUAACGUGAGAACACACAUUGGUUGCUUGCUAUUUUGUUAAUACUUUCACAAAACCACAUCAGCCUCUUUGUUUUUCUGCUGUUUCUCACAGUUCAGCAGACAGCAACAUGCACUUAACAAAAAUAGAGAGGCUUAGAGACAUGUGCAAGAGACAGCUUCAGAAAAACUCUCAAGACAUGCUAAUCAUCUCUAAGAAGAAAAUAUGUUAUUGGCCUAGUAACCAAGGAACAGACAAAGCUUCCAGGAGAUAUGCAGACUUUAAAACAAUCUGCAGUAUAAUUCCACAUAAAUGGCACCAAAACAAUCUCCAAGGGAGUUGCUGCAUCAUUUUGUCACAGCUCAGCACAACACUUGGUCACUAAAUGAUGCAGCUCUUUGAUAUCUCAUUCCCAUUUUGGUUUGCUUAGGCAAAUCCAGAUGAUCUCUGCCCUGUGCAUCAGUGGAUGCUACAAUCAUUAUGGCUGUGCUCAGGCCCCCAUUCCACAGGAAGAACCACUGGAAUUGUUUACUAUGGAGAAAAGGAGGCUGAAGGGAGACCUUAUUGCUCUCUUCCAGUACCUGAAAGGUGAUUGCAGUGGGAGCAGGGCUGGUCUCUUCUCACUGGUGACAGGACGAGGGGAAAUGGCCCCAAGUUGCACCAGGGGAGGUUUAGGUUGGAUAUCAGGAAAAACUUCUCUACUGAAAGGGCUGUUAAGCACAGGAAUAGGCUCCCCAGGGAGGUGGUUGAGUCACCAUCCCUGAAUGUGUUUAAAAACCAUCUGGAUGUGGUGCUCAGAGAUAUGAUUUAGUGGAGGGUUGUUAGAGUUAGGGUAGCAUGAUUAGGCUGUGGUUGGACUUGAUGAUCUUUAAGGUCUUUUCCAACCUGAGCAAUUCUACGGUUCUAUGAUUCUAUGAUUCCUGCUCUGGUCUUGGCCAGCACAGAUCACUAACUCCAACCCCUGGCACCUGCACCAUCCCACCAUUCCUUCUGCAGAUGUGAAAUUCAGCAUGAGCAAAACUCACCCAGGUCUAGGUCAUAACAAGCCCUAGGUUAGAAAAACGUGGUGUUGUCAAUUUUAGUUGGUGUUUUGACUAAAUAUGCAAGGAUUAAUGGUACAAGUGGUUAUUCCAGCAUAUCUGAGAGGCCGUAUCCUCUGGAAAGGUGAACAAACAGCAUGACAGUGGCGGUGGGCUGCCUGGCAUGGGGUGGGUUCUUGUUCAAAUAGCGUCCUCCUCUCACCAAGCAAUAUCUGCCCGUGGUCUAAUAUUGAGUUAAACUGUUCUUACCUUAAAUAAAUGAAAGAUGUCUUAGUGCUUCAUUAUUGCAUAU
Gallus gallus (chicken) is the source of this 7508-nucleotide long non-coding RNA. Lineage: Eukaryota; Metazoa; Chordata; Aves; Galliformes; Phasianidae. The record is from Ensembl.